Molecule: ribosomal RNA, 140 nt
Filed under: Mycobacterium sp. 25m
Lineage: Bacteria; Bacillati; Actinomycetota; Actinomycetes; Mycobacteriales; Mycobacteriaceae
Description: partial 16S ribosomal RNA
Rfam family: Bacterial small subunit ribosomal RNA
Source: RNAcentral
UGGGGAAUAUUGCACAAUGGGCGCAAGCCUGAUGCAGCGACGCCGCGUGAGGGAUGACGGCCUUCGGGUUGUAAACCUCUUUCAGCACAGACGAAGCGCAAGUGACGGUAUGUGCAGAAGAAGGACCGGCCAACUACGUG